CCUACGGGAGGCAGCAGUGAGGAAUAUUGGUCAAUGGGCGCGAGCCUGAACCAGCCAAGUAGCGUGAAGGAUGACUGCUCUACGGUUUGUAAACUUCUUUUAUAUAGGAAUAAAGUGAGGCACGUGUGCCUUUUUGUAUGUACCUUAUGAAUAAGCAUCGGCUAACUCCGUGCCAGCAGCCGCGGUAAUACGGAGGAUCCGAGCGUUAUCCGGAUUUAUUGGGUUUAAAGGGAGCGUAGAUGGUUUAUUAAGUCAGUUGUGAAAGUUUGUGGCUCAACCGUAAAAUUGCAAUUGAUACUGGCAGCCUUGAGUACAGUUGAGGUAGGCGGAAUGCGUGGUGUAGCGGUGAAAUGCUUAGAUAUCACGAAGAACUCCGAUUGCGAAGGCAGCUUACUAAACUGUAACUGACAUUGAUGCUCGAAAGUGUGGGGAUCAAACAGGAUUAGAUACCCGAGUAGUC
This 460-nucleotide ribosomal RNA is filed under the name uncultured bacterium. Its description in RNAcentral is "partial 16S ribosomal RNA". It matches the Rfam family "Bacterial small subunit ribosomal RNA", at positions 338 to 795 of the family's 1533-position model. The record is from RNAcentral.